UUCCAUGCAAAUGGAAAUCAAAAGAAAGCUGGAGUAGCAAUACUCAUACCAGAUAAAAUAGACUUUAAAAUAAAGAAUGUUACAAGAGACAAGGAAGGACACUACAUAAUGAUCAAGGGAUCAAUCCAAGAAGAAGAUAUGACAAUUAUAAAUAUAUAUGCACCCUUUUAUAGCUGCUAACAGCUAUAAAAGAGGAAAUCGACAGUAACACAAUAAUAGUGGGGGACUUUAACACCUCACUUACACCAAUGGACAGAUCAUCCAAAAUGAAAAUAAAUAAGGAAACAGAAGCUUUAAAUGACACAAUAAACCAGAUAGAUUUAAUUGAUAUUUUUAGGACAUUCCAUCUAGAAACAGAUUACACUUUCUUCUCAAGUGCACACAGAACAUUCUCCAGGAUAGAUCACAUCUUGGGUCACAAAUCAAGCCACAGUAAAUUUAAGAAAAUUGAAAUCACAUCAAGCAUCUUUUCUGACCACAACGCUAUGGGAUUAGAAAUGAAUUAUAGGGAAAAAAAAGUAAAAAACACAGACACAUGGAGGCUAAACAAUACGUUACUAAAUAACAAAGAGAUCACUGAGGAAAUCAAAAAAUACCUAGAGACAAAUGACAAUAAAAACAUGGCGAUCCAAACAAAACAUAUGGGAUGCAGCAAAAGCAGUUCUAAGAGGGAAGUUUAUAGCUAUACAAGCCUACCUCAAGAAACAAGAAAAAUCUCAAAUAAACAAUCUAACCUUACACCUAAAGAAACUAGAGAAAGAAGAACAAACAAGACCCAAAGUUAGCAGAAGGAAAGAAAUCAUAAAGAUUAGAGCAGAAAUAAAUGAAAUAGAACUAAAGAAAACAAAAGCAAAGAUCAAUAAAACUAAAAAAAAAAAAAAGGUUAAAUGAGGUCAUAAGUGAGAGGCCCUAACAAUAAGAUUGUUCCUUGUAGGAAGAGGAGGAGAUACCAGGAGUGCAUGUGUACAAAGAAAGCCCACGCAAGGACACAGUGAUGAGAAGGAAGCCGAGGAGAGAGACCUCAGGAGAAACGAAACCUGCCAACACCUUGAUCUUGGACUUCCAGCCUGCAGAAUUGACCCACUGUUGGCGCAUGCUUUCUCAGUUGUGUUGAGAGACUUCCCUGCUGGUAUUUCAGAGAUACAGAUGAAGCCAGACAGAUCAAGCUGCUUCUCAUUCUUAUCCCAAGAAGCUGGCUGACUGCAGGGCCUCCGGACUCUGUCAGGGAAGACACUCCUUCCCAGAAGCUCCCAGCAACUCUCAUUUAUGCGUAGCCACAAGGCAUGAUGGGAAAUGAGUAUGUGGCAUUUUGAGCCUCCAUCAUGGAAACAGGCUCCACCCAGAGGAAGCAGCGGGUAGAUCUGGCUAUUGGAUGAUUCCAGCAUCAUCAGUGGAUACUCAAGGAAGGCAUGUUGAAUGGAUAUCUGAGCUAGAAGCUGCAAGCAACACAAGGGUAGAGAUCGUGGCUAUCGUGUUCAUCCAGUUACCAGCACAGUCCUCAGAACAGAGUCUAUGCUCCAUAGAACACAUAUGGAAUGAAUAUGAAUAAACCCAGAGGAAAAACCAUCUUAACAGGGACUAAGGAACAUCAUGCACAUUGGUAACACUGUGGAGCAGAUGCGAUAACUCUAUCAAAAUAAAAGGGAAGCUACUGGAGAUGUAUCCAUAAAAAUAAGAGAUUAAAUCAAGAAUGAGGAAGCUAUGGAAUCCAGGAAAAAAAGGAAAUGUAAAAAGAACUACAUUGAGAUAAUAUUUUCCCCUGCUUAUCAGAUUGUCAAAGAUUAAAAAGGACGUGCUUCUAGAUGCCGAUUAGCUUUAUGCAGAAACUAC
Molecule: long non-coding RNA, 1830 nt
Organism: Physeter macrocephalus (sperm whale)
Lineage: Eukaryota; Metazoa; Chordata; Mammalia; Artiodactyla; Physeteridae
Exons: 9
Source: RefSeq, a predicted model, not a curated record